This 456-nucleotide ribosomal RNA is filed under the name uncultured Desulfovibrio sp. RNAcentral describes it as "bacterial SSU rRNA". It matches the Rfam family "Bacterial small subunit ribosomal RNA", at positions 924 to 1382 of the family's 1533-position model. Lineage: Bacteria; Pseudomonadati; Thermodesulfobacteriota; Desulfovibrionia; Desulfovibrionales; Desulfovibrionaceae. The record is from RNAcentral.
CACAAGCGGUGGAGCAUGUGGUUUAAUUCGAUGAUACGCGAGGAACCUUACCUGGGCUCAAAUGUAUGUUGACGUAUCUGAAAGGGAUACUUCUUCGGACAAUAUACAAGGUGCUGCAUGGUUGUCGUCAGCUCGUGCCGUGAGGUGUCGGGUUAAGUCCCAUAACGAGCGCAACCCCUAUUUGCCAGUUGCUACCAGGUAAUGCUGGGCACUCUGGUGAGACUGCCCCGGUUAACGGGGAGGAAGGUGGGGACGACGUCAAGUCAUCAUGGCCCUUACGCCUAGGGCUACACACGUACUACAAUGGCGCAUACAAAGGGCAGCGAUACCGCGAGGUGGAGCCAAUCCCAAAAAGUGCGUCCCAGUCCGGAUUGCAGUCUGCAACUCGACUGCAUGAAGUUGGAAUCGCUAAUAAUUCGAGAUCAGCAUGCUCGGGUGAAUGCGUUCCCGGGCCUU